This 303-nucleotide signal recognition particle RNA is filed under the name Ipomoea nil (Japanese morning glory). RNAcentral's name for it is "Plant signal recognition particle RNA". It matches the Rfam family "Plant signal recognition particle RNA". The record is from Rfam by way of RNAcentral. Lineage: Eukaryota; Viridiplantae; Streptophyta; Magnoliopsida; Solanales; Convolvulaceae.
GCUGGGCUUGGUAGCGUGAGCCUGUAACCCAAGUGGGAGCAAUAAGUUGGUGGAAUGGUUGGUCUUACCCUGAAGGCUGGGCUUGGGGUGCUAUUACUGGCCUGCCCGUUCCAAGUGGUGAGUCUGGCCGUGGAGUCUUUGCGAAGGCGAAGGCUUCUCGUCCAUUAGAAUGGAGGGCACCGCGUGAGGCUGGUUUCACAGAGCAGCGAACACCUCCUCCUCUCUGCAGUGGAAGGAUAACGGGCCGGAGUAUCUUCAGUCCACCAGAGCCUGAUGGGUUGUCCAAAUUAAACCACCAUCUUU